GUGACAGCAGCCGCGGUAAUACAGAGGUCCCAAGCGUUGUUCGGAUUCACUGGGCGUAAAGGGUGCGCAGGUGGCUCGGUAAGUUUGGUGUGAAAGCUCAGGGCUUAACCCUGAAAUGGCAUUGAAUACUAUUGGGCUGGAGGUUUGGAGGGGGGACUGGAAUUCUCUGUGUAGCAGUGAAAUGCGUAGAUAUCGAGAGGAACACCAGUGGCGAAGGCGAGUCCCUGGACAACACCUGACACUGAGGCACGAAAGCUAGGGGAGCAAACAGGAUUAGAUACCCGAGUAGUCC
This 292-nucleotide ribosomal RNA is filed under the name uncultured bacterium. RNAcentral's name for it is "partial 16S ribosomal RNA". It matches the Rfam family "Bacterial small subunit ribosomal RNA", at positions 505 to 796 of the family's 1533-position model. The record is from RNAcentral.